This is a non-coding RNA of Pelobates cultripes (western spadefoot toad), 267 nucleotides long. Lineage: Eukaryota; Metazoa; Chordata; Amphibia; Anura; Pelobatidae. The record is from the annotation of a GenBank genome assembly.
CGAUUUUAGUUCCAUAAAAAUAGAGGCGAACACCGCUGUUCAUUCGUAUGGUUUAAAAUGGCCGCGACCUCGUGUUCGGGAUACGAAUGGCGGCCACCCAGCGUUCAUCAAUUAAGCUGCGGUUAACCGCAGCUUCAGGGAGGUUAAUCGCCGGCACACUCCAGCUCCCAGGUGGUCCAGUCAUUCGUACGGUUGUUCGGUAGAUUGAAACUACCGAACAACCGGCAGAAAAGCACGAAUACAGCUUUUCUGCAUGCAAAAAUAAAG